AAACGUAGGGGGCGAGCGUUAUCCGGAAUUAUUGGGCGUAAAGCGCAUGCAGGCGGUUGUACAAGUUGGUUGUGAAAGCUCACGGCUUAACCGAGAGAGGCCAGCCAAAACUGUAUGACUUGAGGUGGGCAGAGGAGAGUGGAAUUCCCGGUGUAGUGGUGGAAUGCGUAGAGAUCGGGAGGAACACCAGUGGCGAAAGCGGCUCUCUGGACCUGACCUGACGCUCAGAUGCGAAAGCGUGGGGAGCAAACGGGAUUAGAAACCCCGGUAGUCC
RNAcentral lists this ribosomal RNA (274 nucleotides) under uncultured bacterium. RNAcentral's name for it is "partial 16S ribosomal RNA". It matches the Rfam family "Bacterial small subunit ribosomal RNA", at positions 523 to 796 of the family's 1533-position model. The record is from RNAcentral.